CUGGGGCUCCACAGGGGACUGUCCUGUCUCCCUUUCUCUUCACCAUCUACACCUCGGACUUCAACUACUGCACAGAGUCUUGCCAUCUUCAGAAGUUUUCUGAUGACUCUGCCAUAGUUGGAUGCAUCAGCAAGGGAGAUGAGGCUACGGUGAUGAGGUACAGGGCUACGGUGGGAAACUUUGUCACAUGAUGUGAGCAGAGUCAUCUGCAGCUUAAUGUGAAAAAGACUAAGGAGCUGGUGGUGGACCUGAGGAGGGCUAAGGCACCGGUGACCUGUUUCCAUCCAAGGGGUCAGUGUGGACAUGGUGGAGGAUUACAAAUGCCUGGGGAUACGAAUUGACAAUAAACUGGACUGGUCAAAGAACACUGAGGCUGUCUACAAGAAGGGUCAGAGCCGUCUCUACUUCCUGAGGAGACUGAGGUCCUUUAACAUCUGCUGGAUGAUGCUGAGGAUGUUCUAUGAGUCUGUGGUGGCCAGUGCUAUCAUGUUUGCUGUUGUGGGCUGGGGCAGCAGGCUGAGAGUAGCAGACACCAACAGAAUCAACAAACUCAUUCGUAAGGCCAGUGAUGUUGUGGGGGUGGAACUGGACUCUUUGACGGUGGUGUCUGAAAAGAGGAUGCUGUCCAAGUUGCAUGCCAUCUUGGACAAUGUCUCCCAUCCACUCCAUAAUGUACUGGUUAGGCACAGGAGUACAUUCAGCCAGAGACUUAUUCCACCGAGAUGCAACACUGAGCGUCAUAGGAAGUCAUUCCCGCCUGUGGCCAUCAAACUUUACAACUCCUCCCUUGGAGUGUCAGACACUCUGAGCCAAUAGGCUGGUCCUGGACUUAUUUCCACUUGGCAUAAUUUACUUAUUAAUUAAUUAUUUAUGGUUUUAUAUUGCUAUAUUUCUUCACUUUUCUUGGUUGGUGUGACUGUAAUUAAAGUAAUGAAACCCAAUUUCCCUCGGGAUCAAUUAAGUAUGUCUGUCUGUCUGAACUACGAUAUCAAUUCAGUUUGCUUCUCCACAGAUGCCGCUGGAUCUGCUGACAGAAGUGAAGUGCUGUCCGAGCAUCCUGUGCUAGACUUGGUAGAUAGGGUUUAUCAUGAAGAAUGUUAUGAAUAAGAUCGAAGAGGUUUACCAGGAUACUGUCUGGAUUAGAGGACAUGAGCUGUAAGGCGAGGUUGGACCUACUGGGGAUAUUUUCCCUAGAGCCGCAGAGACUGAUGGAAGACCGGACAGAGGUUUAUAAGGUUAUGAGAGGCAUGGAGAGAGUUGACAGCCGGUACGUUUAUUUUUAACCGCAGGGUCAAAAUUAGAGGGCGCGCAUUUAAGGUGAGCAGUGAAGAGUUCAAAGGAGAUGUACAGGGUUAGAGUGUUUUUUCUACAAACUGUUGAGUGCCUGGAAUGCACUGCCAGAGUUGGUGGGGGAGGCAAAUACAAUAGGGGAAGGCACAUGUGCCUUAGGUAGGCACAUGGACAUGCAGAGAAUGUGCAGAGAGAGAAGGGAAUAUAUUAAUUAGGCAUCAUUAGCUUAAUGAUUUCAGCACAUCAUCAUGGACAAUAGGGCCCAUUACUGUGGUGUACUGUUAGACGCUUGUGGUGAACUAUGUGCCUGUCUGGACACGCCCCCUGCUGACUGCUCCUGUGGCUCCUCCCACAGGCCCCUGUAUAAAGGCGAUCUGAGGCCUGACGCUCGGCCUCAGUCUCCAGGUCAUAGUAUGAUGGACACUCACUCCUGGUUCCUUCUUCCAGUCAAUAAAAGCCGAUAUCUCGCCUUACGUCUCAGUAUCAAUACCUAUAGGCUGAUCUUUAGAAAGUGCUGCUGCAUAGUAAUGGAAACAAACACAGAGUCACCAUGGCAAUGAAGAUCACCUUGGAGACUGAUUAAUGCUGGUAGGAGCAGCAUGGACAUCGUAUCAGAUGAUGGUAAGAAAAUGUGCUGGAAUCUGGAGCAAGAAGCAGCCUGCUAGAGGAACUCAGUGGGUCAGAGAGCAUCUUCAGAGGGAAAUGGACAGCUGUUGCUUCGGAUAACACCCUUUGUUUGAAUUGAAUUAUCAUCUGGAAAAUGUGUCACCCUUAUUUAAUCUGUUCUGUAUGGAUCUUCUGACCCACAUAAAGCAUUGGCUC
Hypanus sabinus (Atlantic stingray) is the source of this 2112-nucleotide long non-coding RNA. RefSeq lists it as uncharacterized. The transcript is spliced from 3 exons. Lineage: Eukaryota; Metazoa; Chordata; Chondrichthyes; Myliobatiformes; Dasyatidae. The record is from RefSeq and is a predicted model, not a curated record.